GACGAACGCUGGCGGUGUGCUUAACACAUGCAAGUCGAACGGUAAGGCCCUUUCGGGGGUACACGAGUGGCGAACGGGUGAGUAACACGUGAGUAACCUGCCCUCAUCUCUGGGAUAACAGUCGGAAACGGUUGCUAAUACUGGAUAUGAGCUUGCAAGGCAUCUUGUGGGUUGGAAAGAUUUUUUUGGUUGGGGAUGGACUCGCGGCCUAUCAGCUUGUUGGUGAGGUAGUGGCUCACCAAGGCUUCGACGGGUAGCCGGCCUGAGAGGGCGACCGGCCACAUUGGGACUGAGAUACGGCCCAAACUCCUACGGGAGGCAGCAGUGGGGAAUAUUGCACAAUGGACGGAAGGCUGAUGCAGCAACGCCGCGUGCGGGAUGACAGCCUUCGGGUUGUAAACCGCUUUCGAUUGUGACGAAGCUUUUUGUGACGGUAGCAGUAGAAGAAGCACCGGCUAACUACGUG
Molecule: ribosomal RNA, 466 nt
Filed under: uncultured bacterium
Lineage: Bacteria
Description: partial 16S ribosomal RNA
Rfam family: Bacterial small subunit ribosomal RNA
Source: RNAcentral